Molecule: ribosomal RNA, 497 nt
Filed under: uncultured bacterium
Lineage: Bacteria
Description: partial 16S ribosomal RNA
Rfam family: Bacterial small subunit ribosomal RNA
Source: RNAcentral
GAUGAACGCUGGCGGCGUGCCUAAUACAUGCCAGUCGAGCGAACGGACGAGAAGCUUGCUUCUCUGAUGUUAGCGGCGGACGGGUGAGUCACACGUGGAUAACCUACCUAUAAGACUGGGAUAACUUCGGGAAACCGGAGCUAAUACCGGAUAAUAUUUUGAACCGCAUGGUUCAAAAGUGAAUGACGGUCUUGCUGUCACUUAUAGAUGGAUCCGCGCUGCAUUAGCUAGUUGGUAAGGUAACGGCUUACCAAGGCAACGAUGCAUAGCCGACCUGAGAGGGUGAUCGGCCACACUGGAACUGAGACACGGUCCAGACUCCUACGGGAGGCAGCAGUAGGGAAUCUUCCGCAAUGGGCGAAAGCCUGACGGAGCAACGCCGCGUGAGUGAUGAAGGUCUUCGGAUCGUAAAACUCUGUUAUCAGUGAAGAACAUAUGUGUAAGUAACUGUGCACAGCUUGACGGUACCGAAUCAGAAAGCCACGGCUAACUACGUG